AUGAGAAACCUGGCUAUUUGGCCAAGAUGGCUCAGUUCAGCAACGAAGUCAAGUCCCUACUUACCUGUUAUUUCAUUGUCAGGAACUCAGCCACCACCUGUCCUAUGUAUUCUCAUCCAGGAACAGUUUGAAAACCGGGUUGAUAAAACUGGGGAAAGGGAAAGAAGCCACGAGAAUCCAGAAGUUGGAAGCAUCACUGGACACACCAGGCAGGAAUCCCCCACCAAUCACCUGGGGAUGAUGCUCUCUCGGCCCAACCCACAGGGGUGCACUGACAGGUUUUAAUUUUCAGGAUGAAACAUAAAGUCCGAGGAAACCCUCAGCAUAAUCACUUGGGGACUCAUGUUUCCACAGCAAAGACACCAGUCCUGAACUUCUCCUUUCAGAAUUCUUGGGUAACUGCACCAGCAUUUGUUCUCCAGCAUGCAUGUCAGCACUUUAGAGCUCGAAACCUCCCUGCUGUGCCCUGUUCCCACUCUCUGGAUGCACCUGCCAUCUGUUAGCAUGGCUUCUCUAUAUGUGGGAUUCAAGCAAUACCAGAGCUUCUACCCUCGCUCUGCUUUCCAUCACCCUGGACAUGUGCCAGUCCUCUUUAGAUCUAUUUAAUGGUUAGUGGAACAACCCAAGAACUCAUGUCAUGCUGGAGGGUCCGUGACUCUCAUCACAUGAGGCCAGCUAUGACAACUCCUUGCACAGGACCGAAGCUGGAGUUCAGACUUUAUGAGUCCAAUGUUGGUACCACAAUCCCCAUAGGGUAAAUAGAGUCACCAAAUACAGACUAAAGUUUAAAUUGCAGGGAAACUGGGUGAUGUUCACCUAGCCUCCUAGUACAAUGGUAGUUGGAGGUCUGUCCUACUAAUCCUCAUUACCAGAAUCAUUCUUCACUCCAUGAUUGAUGUGUAGGAAAGUACUUGUAUACUGUGAAAAACUACCCAAAUCAAUGGUCAUGAUUAACUGCACUGCACAGACAAAUACUGAUAAUGUAUUAGGAAGAUGAUGAAUCACAUUUCUGUGAUCUUGAGAUCUGUAAAAGAGAAAACAUUUCAGGCAUGAUAAAGAAUCUGCGACUUGGAUUUACACGUAUGCACUUAUUGAAUCCUCACAUAAGCCUGCUACUCAUGGAGUACUUACAAUUUAACAAGAGACAAGAGCUAGGGUCAGUAAGCUUUAUUUAAAGGACAGUAUGAGGUGUCUAGAAAAUGACAGAGCUACAACUUAAGUUUAGCUCUGCCUGUCUCUGAACCUCCAACCCCUAGCCAUGCUGAUCUUUUUUUUUUUUUUAUAAGAGUGGUUCAUUUUUUUAAAUUUUAUUUUUAUUUAUUCAUGAGAGAGAGAGAGGCAGAGACACAGGCAGAGGGAGAAGCAGGCUCCAUGCAGGGAGCCCAACGUGGGACUCUAUCCCGGGACUCCAGGAUCGCCCUGGGCCGAAGGCCGCGCUAAACCGCUGAGCCACCCGGACUGCUCGCCAUAUGCUGAUCUUGAGGGCUAGAUGUCAGACCCAGAUUUUUCCCGAAUGUGUCACCUCUCAGGUCACACCCAGAGACUCCGGCCUCUUAUCACACCCUCCUCUCCAACCUCUUCACAGCUGACCCCCACAUGCAGUUUCUCUCAACCCAGGGGACUCUCUGGGGGAACUGACCCAACCCUGUAAGUCAGCACCUCUCCUCAGUUCCGAAUCAGUCUCCUCCAUGAGGAUAACCCUCAGCCUUUCUGACUUCUAAGCACCUCCAUCCCAGACAACAAGAAUAUCUCCCCUGCUAUGGCUGCAGCUAUCCUAUCCUUAACUGUGUUUUAUAAAUAUCUGGCAACCCCAUAGGCCUUGAUAGUUAAUCAUUCUUCCUGCUUUGUAACAUUUUGGACAUUCCCCUUGUCUUUUGAAUCUAGGAAAUGCUCAUCUAUCUCCUUACCUCAGAAGGGCUCCUGUCCUAUCUCACACUUGAAGAAGUCCAUCUGAAGCAAGGCUGCAGCUCCCUGCCAUGAUGCUACAUAUUCCUGCAUCUCUCCUCACUAGUGACUACUUUCCUGUUUAAAUUCAAAGUCAAUGGGGCGCCUAGGGGGCUCAGUGGUUGAGUGCCUGCCUUCAACUCAGGAUAUGAUCCUGUGAUCCUGGGAUCUAGUCCCGCAUUGGGCUCCCUGCAAGGAGCCCGCUUCUCCCUCUAUGACUCUGCCUCUCUCCGUGUGUCUCAUGAAUAAAUAAAAUCUUAAAAAGAAAUUCAAAAUCAAGUCUAUGCCUGGAUUAAGUUCAGGUUCUCAAAGGUAUCCCCUUCUUUCUUGCUCUCUGGAAAACUAAUUAUUGACUAGUAAGUAACUGCCAAACUGCAUCGUAUUUUUUAAAAUUUUAAUCUUUAUUGAACAAUUUUCCAGAGGGAGGGGCAAGGUGGUGGAAGAGUAGGGUCCCCAAGUCACCUGUCCCCACCAAAUUACCUAGAUAACCUUCAAAUCAUCCUGAAUAUCUACGAAUUCGGCCUGAGAUUUAAAGAGAGACCAGCUGGAAUGCUACAGUGAGAAGAGUUCGUGCUUCUAUCAAGGUAGGAAGACGGGGAAAAAGAAAUAAAGCAGCAAAAGGCCUCCAAGGGGGAGGGGCCCGCGAGGAGCUGGACUGAGGCCGGGGCGAGUGUCCCCAGGACAGGAGAGCCCCGUCCCGGAGGAGCAGGAGCUGCACCGACCUUCCCGGGCGGAAAGGGGCUCCAGGGAGGUGGAGCAGGACCCAGGAGGGCGGGGAUGCCCUCGGGCUCCGGGGACAUUAACAGACACCUGCGCCCCGGGAGAGUGCGCCGAGCUCCCUAAGGGCUGCAGCGGGCACGGGGGACCCGGAGCAGCUCGGGGGGGGCUCGGGGGCGGCUCCGCGGAGGGGGCUGCGGGGCGGGAGCGAAUCCAACAGCGCAGGCCCCGGAGCACAGGGCGCCGGGACACAGCCCAGGAUCCGGCCUCCCCCCGGGACAGGCAGAGGCCGGCCCAGGACAGCGAGGACGCUCCUGCCCGGAGCUGAGCAGAUCAGCGGCCCCGCCCGGAGCUUCCAGGCCCUGCAGACGGAGAGCUCCGGAGUUCCUGCCGGAGCUGAAUCCAGGGCUCCAGAGCUGGCCCCGCCACCGGGGUUGUUCCUCCUGGGGCCUCACGGGGUAAACAGCCCCCACUGAGCCCUGCACCAGGCAGGGGGCUGAGCAGCUC
This 3168-nucleotide long non-coding RNA is filed under the name Canis lupus familiaris (dog). RNAcentral's name for it is "lncRNA (ENSCAFG00845029230.1)". The record is from RNAcentral. Lineage: Eukaryota; Metazoa; Chordata; Mammalia; Carnivora; Canidae.